UGGGACGAUGGUCAUAGGUAACAGAUUUUGGGUUGAUCGGUCUCUCCGCCUCGCCUAGAACACCGACUGGCUAGUGAAGAUGGACCUCGCUGCUUAUUGUCCGAGUUCUUGGUCGAAGAAGACGGAGUUUGAUGCUCGUAUUACAUCUCGGUGCUCAUGGUGUCAACCUUCGUGUUUGGUUGCGUUUGAAGCUCGAUCGUUAGAUAUCGCCGUUCAUGAAGAAUUUGAUUUCCUUUUCAUUUUUCUGUUAAAUUUUAGUUUGUAAUUUUCUGAGUUGAUUUAUUUAUGGAUAAACUCAGUGUAUUCUUGUUUGUUAGAUUUCUGGGUUUGUUACACUCAUUGGUGUGUUUUUUUUUGUUGUUUUGGGUUAAAAGUUUGUAAAUUUCUAGGUUUGUGGGUGUAUUAUUAAUCUGUAUAUUGGAUUCAAAUUAUUAAAAUUUGUAUUCAAGUUUUUUCA
Cannabis sativa is the source of this 457-nucleotide long non-coding RNA. RefSeq lists it as uncharacterized. NCBI's taxonomy places the organism in Eukaryota, Viridiplantae, Streptophyta, Magnoliopsida, Rosales, Cannabaceae. The record is from RefSeq and is a predicted model, not a curated record. The transcript is spliced from 2 exons.